This is a long non-coding RNA of Pipra filicauda (Wire-tailed manakin), 609 nucleotides long. RefSeq lists it as uncharacterized. The record is from RefSeq and is a predicted model, not a curated record. Lineage: Eukaryota; Metazoa; Chordata; Aves; Passeriformes; Pipridae. The transcript has 4 exons.
CCAGAGCUCUACCCCCAGUGUUCCCACACACCCUGUUAGAUGAGGGGUGGCUGUUGCUGUGCCUGGUCCUCACAGGGCUCCCCAGACAAUGCAGAGCAAAGGCACAGAUGCCACCUGAGGGGCAGUGUUAUCUCAGGACAGGGAACCAGAUCACCUGAGUGUAACUAAGAGCAGUUUCCUUCCUAGGACAGGGCAUGGGGAACAGCAGACGGAAGGGUUGUACCAGCACUGGCAGGUGCAGUGCGGGCACAGGAGAAACAAGAGGAAGGCUGGAGACUGCAGAAGGCCCAGAGCGGGGAGGAACAGCUCAGGUGAAGCUGAUGUCGUGGAUGAGUGAGGAAAAUCGCAGGCAGCACUCCCGCAGCAGUGGAGCAGCACGCUUCUUUAAAAGGCAAAUUCAAGCGUCUCCUCCUUAGUAGAAUAAAGACCUGAGUUCGGUAGCAGAGGACUUUUUUUUCAAAAGGCACUACAAAGGGCUGGCAAGCAAGCUGCAAAGGGCUCACCAUCAACAUCCCAGGCUGUGCUUCCCUUAAGACUGAGAGCAAUCACCACUCCCUUUUGCAAGUGUGCCAUUUGGCGCUUUGGUUUGGAUGACCAAACAUCAUCAUA